This 2283-nucleotide unclassified non-coding RNA is filed under the name Hevea brasiliensis (rubber tree). Lineage: Eukaryota; Viridiplantae; Streptophyta; Magnoliopsida; Malpighiales; Euphorbiaceae. The record is from RNAcentral.
GGCGAAGUCAUUUGGCAAGAAGCUAGCUAAUUUGAAGACUCACAAAGUCCCAGACUUGGUCUUCUCUCUGCGACUCUCUGUAAAUUUUCUAUAUACUAAACCCUCCUACUCUUGCAAACAUGUCUUGGAUAUCCAACAUUUCCACGCCGACACAGCAAGUGACUCAAGGUCUCUUCUCUGCUACGAAACUACUGGAGUCAGAUGAUGCUGCAAUAAUUAAGAAGGUUCAAAAGACCCACAAACCUCAUGGUCGCCAAGUUGAUAACCUUGGCGAUUUAUUCAGCAUCAUUGGCAAAAUCUUGCUUCAUGAAAAUCGCAAAAGUGAUGAUGAUGUUCCAAAUGAAAAAUCAGUAGCGCUUGAAGUACCAGCUUACCUCAUAAACAAAAUCUGCUGCAAGUUAGCAUGCAAUUGCACAGAUAGAGAUGCGCAAGAAACAACUAUGACGAUUCUCGAAAAAGAACUUCAAAAUUAUCUUUGGGAUGAAAAGCUGGUUAUUAUGGCAGCUGCUUUUGCAGUGAAUUAUGGUGAAUUUUAUCUGCUUACUCAGCUUGACACUCCAGAUCCAGUUGCCAAGAAUAUGGCUUUCCUUAAGCAGCUACAAUUCAUCAAGGAAAUUGGCAGUGCAUCCCAAAAUCUCCCUGGAACAAUUAAUGAGCUUAUCUACGCCAUAAUGACUGUAAUCAAAUGUGUUCUCCAGUUCAGUGAUCUAGAUCCUAAGUAUUUUGAAGCUGAAAAGCAACCAUCUGCCAUUACUGAAAUCGCCAGAGCUACCUAUUGGACAAUUUAUAGUGUUGUGACCUGCGGCUCUUAUAUUGCUGCCUUUGUUGGGUUGAGAAAUCAGCACACCAUGGCAAAAAUGGCUUCGCAACUAACAAAGCUGGCUUCUAAAGUCAGCAGAAUGCAGAAAGUCCUGCAAGAGCAAUUUUCGCAUUGCAAGCAUGAAAUUGAAACUUACAACUCGCUCAUCAAUCGUUUCAACUCAUACCAAGACCAUACGGCUAUCCUCAGCGAUUUGUUUGACGUCGAGAGAGGGAAGCCACCCCUUGUGGUAGGCAAUAACACCAAGAAAGAGGUCGAUAUCAGUUCACUAAAGGGCACCAACGUGUUGCUGCUCAUAUCUAGUCUUGACGUCUGGGAUGUGGAGAUGAAGGCUCUUGCUAAAUUGUACCUAGAACUGCAAACGAAGGAGCACAAUCGAUAUCAAAUAGUGUGGCUUCCAAUUGUGGACGAGUUCAAUGAACACAAGUUUUCGUCAUUGCAAUCCCUGAUGCCUUGGUACACUGUGCGAAAUCCUAAAAUCCUCAGACCAGGGUUCAUUAGAUACAUCAGGGAGGUAUGGAAGUUCACAAAUGAGACAAGUCUGGUGCCACUGGAUCAAAAAGGAAGCGCAAAAUCCCCUACCCCUUAUACUCUUGACUCUCUGUGGAUAUCAGGAAAUUUGCCAGGCCUAUUCACUGAUAAUGGAAAGAAAUCACCAUGGGAUCAGAAUCUGCACUUGACCCUGGAUCUGCUUCUCCGAGGAAUUUAUACAGUUGAUUCGUCGAAACCAGGUUCAAUCAUAUGCCUUUACGGAGGAGAAGACAUCAAGUGGAUCGAGGACUUCACCACUAUGAUAAAUCGGGUUAAGGAUUUCACUAGGACAAGCAUAGAUUUGAUUUAUGUGAGCAAGAGCAAUGCCAUAGAUCAUUACAACAAUGCCAUUUUCGAUUUCAUCACGGCAAAGAAGGUUGGUGGAUACUGGAAAGCUGAUGAAACACACAGUUGGCACUUUUGGACCCGAUUGGAAAGCAUCUUUUCUUGGGGGAUACGAGAUGGCAAGAAUGCUAAAGAAAACGAUACCAUGAAAGAUGUCAUGUCUUUACUAAGCUUCAAUGGCAGCUACAAGGGAUGGGCUGUGUUUGGUCAAUUUGGAUCAUCUCAUAAAGUGGCCAAAGCCACAGGAGAAGUCAUUAUGGAUGUGUUGUUAAAGAUAAGUAACUGGUGGAAAGCUGGCACGAACGUUGAUUCUUUUGUGAUAGCACUCAACCAACAGAUCGAACAACAUCUUAAGGUCCAAAAACACCAUUGUUAUCACAUUGUCCUUCCCGCCACUUUUGCAAAGGUCCCAGAUGAGAUGAUGAUAUGCCCAAUUUGUGAUAGUAAAAUGGGCAAAUACCCGAUGUACCGUUGCUGCGAAUAGUGACCUAUGCAAGCCAAGUUUGUGCUUGUGUAUGUUGUAUGAUAAACCUUGGUGUGCUUUCAAGGAACUGUCAUAAUAAAACUUAAAGACUCUGUUAAGCCUC